RNAcentral lists this microRNA precursor (82 nucleotides) under Phyllostachys edulis (moso bamboo). RNAcentral describes it as "partial precursor microRNA MIR164a". It matches the Rfam family "MIR164 microRNA precursor family". The record is from RNAcentral. Lineage: Eukaryota; Viridiplantae; Streptophyta; Magnoliopsida; Poales; Poaceae.
CAAACCGUGCUGGAGAAGCAGGGCACGUGCUCGAUCGGCUUGCGCGCUUGCAGCACGUGCACUCCUUCUCCACCAUGGCUUC